This 773-nucleotide long non-coding RNA is filed under the name Bos taurus (domestic cattle). RNAcentral describes it as "long non-coding RNA NONBTAT017356". Lineage: Eukaryota; Metazoa; Chordata; Mammalia; Artiodactyla; Bovidae. The record is from RNAcentral.
ACAUUUAAUAUGUAUAUACACAUUUAUUCUUAUACGUAUAUAAGUGGAUACAAAGUAUGUCUGAACUUACAAAAGAAAACCUUUUUUUGUCAGACUCUCUAAUUCAGUCUCUUCUAAGUAAUCCAAAUGGGCAUAUGUUUAUGUGAACUUAAGGUUAAUAUGAAUACCUGGACUACAUACAGAAAAUAUCUCUAAAGAUCAAAAGAGUUUGUAAGACUCCAUAGAAUCACAGGAGGUCAGAUAAAACCAGAUGAUGCAGUAGAAACAGCAUUAAAUAGGAUUAAAAGUCACUCCCUAUUGCCCUGUCCCAUAUGAUCUUGGAUGAAUAACCUUGACAUCUAUAAAACUCAGUUCAUUUUUAUUUAAAUGCAGACAUGAGUAACAAUAACCUGUGAGAUUUAUUUCAUUUCCAGCAUUCCUGGUAUGUGGUAAAUACAUAAUAGGUGAUAGCUAUCAAUGGCAACAUAGUAUUUUUUAUAUAGUUAAUAUCCAGCAGGCAGCUUAGAUAUAUUAAGUCCAAUAUUACUUGUGGAGUGGUAACAAAUUCUUGUCCAACAUAAGGCAUAUAUCAUUGCGGGGGAAAGCCUAUGGAGGUUGGAACUGUCCAUAUAGUAUGACUUAGUAAAGUGAUCUUAAGCACCACAGAAAGAACGUUUUUCUUCUGUUAUAGUCUAUGCUGCAUGCUAACCAGUUUAGGGGUAUAGUAUGUAAAUGAUCAGUUUGUAAAAAUUAACAGUUCUCAAACAUUUUCUUUUUUAUGGUGGCUAGCUAGA